CUUGAUUACCAGUUACACCCAUAGAAACUGACAGGUAGAAAUUAAAGUUUGUCUACUCUUACUCUUUCUUGAUAACUCCGACGAAUGCCGGUUUAUUUCUCCGUUUGUUCACUCUCUCUUCUCAAUAAAAUACCUUUGAAAUAAUCCACAAUACAUUUUGUCUCUCCUUGUCUAAGCCGACUAAACUCAGAUUCAACACCACUCAAGGGUUUUAGUUCUGCGGAGAUGAUUGAAAAUGGGAGCUCCUACUUGGAUUACCGGAGCACUAGAGAAGCCACCUGAAAAGACGGAGCCACCCCAGUUUCAGUUUGACUAUCUUUCUUAUGAUUUCCUGAGUCUAGUUGGUGGGUGUUGAUUUUAUUUGGGAAACUUUCCUGGGUCAAAUUAUGUGAUGAUGAUACGUGAUUUGUGUAUGCAACAUUUUUUGUUAUUGAAGUUCAUUGCAUGUUCGAUCAAGACUCUCACUGGAGCUAUGCGUAUAGGUUCUAACAAGCUGCAUCUGUUCGAAUUCUUAGGUAGUGUGAAGUGUGAAGUGUGAUCAUUACAAGCCUACAUAAUAGGUUUUAGUGGAAUGUAUCGAAAUGGCUUUCACCAACCAUUAUAUUUUUUCUGCUGAGAUUUGUGUGACAACCCGUCCCGUGGACUCUAUACGUUCCAUUGUCUUCAGACUGGCUCUUCAGAACAUCGACUCCAACCCCUGCCCUCAUCGACUCUAUAAUUAGGUUGUUGGUGUGCUUGGUGUUACUUGAACCCAAGAUCUCACCCUUUAACAACCCUCCCACACAUUCACGAAUUGAUCUACAUGUCAAUUAGUGACAACUCGUCUCGUGAGAAUAUUGUUAAAGGGUGAAGUCUUGGAUUCGAAGAGUACCAAACGUGCCAAUAAUCUACUUGAGAAGAGCUUUGAGCUUACAAGUGAGGGGUUAGGGUCGAUGCCCUGCAGGACUAGUCUGGGGUCCACGGG
RNAcentral lists this long non-coding RNA (964 nucleotides) under Brassica napus (rape). RNAcentral describes it as "long non-coding RNA (BNAP_LNC005934)". Lineage: Eukaryota; Viridiplantae; Streptophyta; Magnoliopsida; Brassicales; Brassicaceae. The record is from RNAcentral.